Molecule: ribosomal RNA, 398 nt
Filed under: uncultured bacterium
Lineage: Bacteria
Description: bacterial SSU rRNA
Rfam family: Bacterial small subunit ribosomal RNA
Source: RNAcentral
AGAGUUUGAUCCUGGCUCAGAAUCAACGCUGGCGGCAUGCCUAACACAUGCAAGUCGAACGAGAAAGUCCUUCGGGAUGAGUACAGUGGCGUACGGGUGAGUAACGCGUGGGUUAUCUACCUCUGGGUGGGGAAUAACUCGGGGAAACUCGAGCUAAUACCGCAUAAUACGUUUACGUUAAAGCAGCAAUGCGCCUGGAGAUGAGCCUGCGUCCGAUUAGCUUGUUGGCGGGGUAAUGGCCCACCAAGGCGAUGAUCGGUAGCCGGCCUGAGAGGGCACACGGCCACACUGGCACUGAAACACGGNCCAGACUCCUACGGGAGGCAGCAGUGGGGAAUCUUGCACAAUGGGGGAAACCCUGAUGCAGCGACGCCGCGUGAGUGAUGAAGCCCUUCGGG